UACAGAGGGUGCAAGCGUUAAUCGGAGUUACUGGGCGUAAAGGGCGCGUAGGCGGAUGUAUAUGUGUGAUGUGAAAGCCCCGGGCUUAACCUGGGAAGCGCAUCGCAAACUGUGUAUCUAGAGUAGAUGAGAGGGUGAUGGAAUUUCCGGUGUAGCGGUGAAAUGCGUAGAGAUCGGAAGGAACGUCAAUGGCGAAGGCAGUCACCUGGCAUCAUACUGACGCUGAGGCGCGAAAGCGUGGGGAGCGAACAGG
RNAcentral lists this ribosomal RNA (253 nucleotides) under uncultured bacterium. RNAcentral describes it as "partial 16S ribosomal RNA". It matches the Rfam family "Bacterial small subunit ribosomal RNA", at positions 524 to 776 of the family's 1533-position model. The record is from RNAcentral.